AAGUCGUAACAAGGUAACCGUAGGUGAACCUGCGGUUGGAUCAUUAUAAAAUUUAAAAUCCCUCCUUUGGGGGGGUAACCCACAUUGUGUGAACUUGUACACCGUCUCUGGCGGGGGAGGAAGGAGAUUGGAGGGAUCCCUCACGGGGGGCCUUUCCUUUUGCAAUUCUUCGUCAGCUCGGUUUGUCCCUUCAAAAGGUCGAAUCGGUGCCGUGGACAUCCCGCCAAACACUUCCCUUGGGAGAUCCUCUUUUGGGUCUCUCAUUGGAACUCUUGUGCUCAACUUUUGUAUCUGUCUUUUUGGGAAAUGCUUCUGAGAAUUCGACUGAGCAGAUGCUCGGUCACUUUUGAAAAAUACAAUUAUUCAAAACAACUUUUGGCAACGGAUCUCUUGGCUCUC
RNAcentral lists this unclassified non-coding RNA (399 nucleotides) under fungal sp. RNAcentral describes it as "partial internal transcribed spacer region". The stretch from base 1 to 46 matches the Rfam family "Eukaryotic small subunit ribosomal RNA", at positions 1786 to 1831 of the family's 1831-position model. Lineage: Eukaryota; Fungi. The record is from RNAcentral.